GCCUCGCUCCCCCCAGAGCUGCGGCCUCAGCCCGGCCCCGCCGCCCGCCUCCCUCCCUGCCCCACUGUCAGAGCCGCCCGCCCGCGUGGCAGCGGGCACAGCGGGGCGUGCGGCGUUUCCCUGCGGUGGCUGCUUUGGUACUGGGGGACGACAGCUGUGUCCCACGCGGUGUCCGUCCGUCCGUCCUUCCGUCCGUCCAUCCAUCCAUCCAUCCAUCCACCCAUCCAUCUAUCCCUGAGUGGGCGGCGGCUCGUGUGUGUGUGUGACUGACAGUGAGGCGCGCACAGCGCGGGGGCAGCCGCUCGCACGCAGCCCGCCGGGGCCACGCCGGCGCGCCCCGGCUGCGGCAGCCACUUCUCCGUCCCCUGGAGCCCUCCCCGGUGGGGACAACCUCAGCGGCCUCGCUGCUCGUCCUCCUCCUCCCUCCUGGCGGGACCUUCGCCUUCUGAAACGGGAACUGAAAUUUGGCUCGUCAGCAUCGAGUUGCUGAUGAAAAUCUUGAUCACCUCAGCAUUUGCCAUCUUUUUGUCUCCUUAAGAAAAAAAAAGUUAGGAGAAGUGUUUUCUCACAGUGACACAGAACACAGCACAUUGUAACUACAGGAACAGACUCGACUGUGAAAGAUCUCUAUCAGGCAUCACAGAGAAUCUGAGGCAGCUGGCAGUUAUCAGCUGAAGCAGUAAACCAGUAGAACUGUACAAGCUAAAUAGAUAAUUGAAAAGCAAUCUGGAAACCUGGGAGAGAUAAUAAGCCUCUCUUCUAGAAGGGAGGUAACAACUCAGGUCAAAAAUGCGUGUCUACAUUUUGGAGGACAGAUAUCAAACAAGUUCUUCUCCUAACACACAAAUCAACAGCAGGAGACUUUUGAAGAAGAAAACACACAAUAUUUACAUGUGUGGUUCUAAAGUCUACUAUAAGGAAGCAGAAGUCAACUUUCCAUUUGGGGAAGGUCAUAGAUUGCUAAUCCAAACCCUGUUUUCCCAACAAAUGGCAAUGGCAAUUUGUUUGUAGGUAUUCACAUAUGUCCUCUUACUUUUUGGUGACUUUCUUGCUCUUUAACAAUAAGGCCUGAUGUAACUUCUGAUGGUGCCCCAGGAUCACACUGUUUUGUUUUGUUUAUUCCACAAAAUCAGUAAUAAUAGUUUCUUUUUUCCCAUUUACAUUUUUUUUGUCAGUUAUUGUCUCAUUGUCAGUAUUGUCGUUGAAUGCACAAGUCUGAUACUGAAUUGGUAUUCAAAUACCUACUUCUUAUCAAAUAGCUUGAAUUCUGCAACAAUUUAUUGUGGUCUAUGGUGAGACUUAGGUGCAGAUUGAGACAUCUUAGGCAUCUAUAUGGAAGAGCUCAGGUGUAAACUAUAUGUGUAAACUCUUGCUCUAGACAAGAGUCAAUGCAAUCUGUGGACCCCUCUUGGUGCCUUGUCUGCUGAUGAACUGCUUUGCAGAUGUUUCAGAGGGAACUGAGUUGUUCUCUGAGCUCCAUCUGAACACAGACAAAAAUUAUAGCAUCAUGUGAAAUGUACUGUCAGUUUCUGUCUUGCAGCUCUCUACAGGAUGAGAUUCCCAGAAACUAGAAAAAUACAUUUAAAAAUAUAUUUUAAUCACUAAGUUCCUGACAAAAAUAGUGAAAAGAACUUUCUCCCAAAGACAAAUCAGGAUUCCCUAAAAGUGUUGGAUCUUUGCUUGUCAUUUACUGUGACUCAUGCACAUCAUACAACAGUACCCAAAGCUAUUGGCCAGGUAAAGCAAUCUGGAUAUCUUUGUAUGCUUUUGUUCUGAAAAUGUGUAUCGAUGUACAUCUUGGAUCUCUCAGGCUUCUUCAAUACAUUUAAGAUAUUAACAGGAUUAUUUGAGUUGGUAACCUGAAAUAAUCUGACACUGCAUUUAUUGAUGCAGAAGAUUAUUCUGAAAUUUGUGUCCAAAUGUCUUACUUACUUUACAGUUCCAUAUGAAUAAAAUAUUUUGCUUUGAACAUAGUUUUUCAUUUCCUUUGUAGUAAUUCUGUCUACUGUGGAGUCAUUAAUCCCUUGUCCUAGAGAUUUUUGCUUCUCAGCACUGACACCAGAGGGUUUUUUAGAGCAUUGGGUUAAUCUGAAUACUAUGGAGCAGGUUGGAAGCAACCAUAAAAUAAGAUCAGAAAGCAAUAGCAGAGAACACAGUUCAGGUUAUGGUCAAACUGAGGUUACACAGUCUAGCUACUGCCCCAGCUACAGAGACAGAACCUAGACAGCUGCAGAGCAGUGGCAGCCAGCCAGCAAGCCUGAAUAGAUGAAGAUAAGGCCAAGAGGAGGAGGACUUAAAUCUCAGAUAUUAGCUGCUCUAAUAUAGAAUGAACCAGCUAUAUAAUAACCUUACAUACCCAGAAAAGAACUAGAACAGCUAGUUGGAAACAAAGUCCUUGAAGUUCCUUGUGCAACUUUUCAAAUAGAAAUGAUCAUAGCCAAAUUACUUAAAAAUAUUAGCUUUUAAGAUGUACUUAGUUGUAAAAAAUUACAUAUACUAGGUACAUCAUAAACAGUCUUUGCCCUCAAAUACAUCUUAUACUCAGUAAUUUUAUUUUUUUUUUUUAAUGUGAGGCCAUUAAGUUGAGGCUGUGACUUCACAGGCACAUUACAGUUUAUGCAAAGGUAAUCUUGGUUUUCCUUCUUUGGCUGGGAAUUAGAAUCUGUUAUCCCAGCUAUACUGGUUUUAGUAUCCUAAGUAACCCACUCUUUCUGUGGGCACUCUGCUGUGCCUUGUGUACUUUAAUUGUUCUUUCAACAAACAAAAAUUAUUUAUGAAAACCCCAUUUCUCUCUGAAAAGUACAUUUUUCAGAUGUAAUGUGUAAGCUGUCUGCUGUCUGAAAAAAUUAUUUUUCCCAUUCUAUUUAUAAAGGAUAUUAUUGCUUCACAGGAUAGUUGCAGACCCUGACACAAAGAUAUGGCAAUUGAAAACCAGGCAAUUAAAUAGCUCAAAAAGGAAGAAAAGAAAUGCAAUUCAAAAAGAUCUAUGCAGAGAACCCAUAGCUGUCUGCAACCCUCCCCAUUACUCUGUGUAGGUAGUACUCAGGAUUAGCAAAGAGAAACAAAUGAUGUCAGAACCAGUCCUCUAAACCUUUUCAAUUUUCCAGUAUGAAAAUAUCCUGUAGAACUGUGGUGUAGUAUUGGAUAUGAAACAAAUUGUUUGGGAUUCUUUUUAAUGUCAAUAGAUUUUUUUUCAUUAAAUUUUAAUUCAUCUGUGCUGUAU
Molecule: long non-coding RNA, 3223 nt
Organism: Vidua chalybeata
Lineage: Eukaryota; Metazoa; Chordata; Aves; Passeriformes; Viduidae
Exons: 4
Source: RefSeq, a predicted model, not a curated record